Long non-coding RNA from Notolabrus celidotus (New Zealand spotty), 2126 nucleotides. RefSeq lists it as uncharacterized. The record is from RefSeq and is a predicted model, not a curated record. NCBI's taxonomy places the organism in Eukaryota, Metazoa, Chordata, Actinopteri, Labriformes, Labridae. The transcript is spliced from 4 exons.
CAUGCAAACUCCACACAGAAAGGCACCUGUGCGACCAGGGACUGGAACCAAGAGCCUUCUCGCUGUGAGGCAACAGCGCUCCACUGCAUCAUCGUGCAGCCUGGAUUCCUUUAUUGCAGCAGGAAAACAUUUUCGGCAAAAAGCUGUGAAAACCUCCUUGCACUUGCCAUCAAACAAUACCCAGGUGCAGUUCCCAUUGCUGUUGUUGGUGGAGACCAAAAACAGAGCUAAAGGUGCUGACUUGUUGUUCGAGAAGACAGUUCUCCCUGGAGAGAGGAGGAACUUGGGUCAGCCUGCGUGCCGAGCAUGAGACUAUGAAAAUGGAGGUGACAGGAUGUUGAUGAGGAGGCCCAGAGCGUUACCUCCACCCACCGUGCCCUGGAGUGCUCCACUCUGCCAGCCGAUCAAAGACUCAAGCCUGAGACUUUCCUUUUAACCUAUCAGAUCUCACAGAACAAACAAAACCAAGGAUCAAAGAUGGUUCAAGGGGGAUGGUGAUGGGAGCAGUGUUGACAAUACUACAAACAAAGAUGGAAGCUAUAGCUCUCUUCUAUGGAUGCAUAUCGCUGCCUCAAGGAGAAUCCAGGUUUGAGAGUUUUAGGAAAUCCUGUAAAAGUCUAUGCACCAAAAAGAAAAAAAAGAUCCCACCUUGAUGACCUCUCAACUCCGAGAACAGGCUGCUGUCACCUAGCUGGUAAUUACCUGCCAAUCAGAGCAGAAGAUGGACCUGCAAAGAAAAUGGGGGUGGCAGUCAAAGAUCAGGCCAAGCCACAGGGACCGACAGAGAGGAAGAGAAGAAGAAGAAAUGCGAAGAAGAGAUCGAGGGUGAGGUUCAGAGAAAGAGCUGAGACAGGGAGGCUCAUAAUGAGGCCUGUGAAAGAGACACAGCUGUCAGCGUCAGAGGGAGACUGAGAAACACACACACACACACACACACACACACACACACACACACACACAAACUCCCUCAUUCCUCUUAUGUGGAUGCCAAUUUGGGGGCUUUCAUCUGGGGACGCCACUGUGCUCCAUUUUGGGCCUCUGAUACUGUACGCCUGCUAUUGUACAAGACAAACUGCAACGGAUACAGCCGUGAACGCUUCUGUCGAGCAUUUGAUUAGAGAGGAUAAAGGGAAUACCAAAACAAGAACUGAAAUCUGGGCUACAUCUUCAAAUAAUGCUCUACAAUCACAUAAAGACUAUUUGGGGGAAUGUUUAAGAGUUUAAUGAACACUUACUGAUGGUUAAUUGAUUACAUUAUGUUUAAUUUUGAGUGAAAUUUCUGAAGGGAUGGUUUCUCGUCUUCGACAGCUCAUUGGUGUUAAAAAGCAACACAUUCUCCUGCUCUGUUGGAUUCAUUAUUAAUGCUAGAUCAUUAAUAUUGUAUGACUCGUAGUUCCUGGAGUGUUGAACCAAACUGCACUUCAACUUUGACUUUCAGGCACUGUCACUGAGUUUUUGUUGGCUUUUGUAGAAAUUGAAGCUCUCUCCGGUAUGUUUCAAAUCGAGGAUUUUUGAGUGCAUGCAGUGAAUUUCAAGUUCAAUGCUUUGUUGAACACAGAGUUUUUGAACUUUUGUAAAAUAAGGAAACUCAAACAGAGCUUUCAUGCCUGAAAUACUCAUGGUGGGUUUGGGGAUUGACUUUUCUAAACAGGUGGAACCACUUGUCUCCCUCAACAAACACAUCUCAAAAACAGGAAAGUGUUGUUUUUGCUGGAUACCUCUCCACUCCCCAAUGACACAGACCCAAUAUCAAUACCACUCAUCUCAAAAGGACUGGAUUUAAUACACUGUAUGGCUCACCUGCAAAGAUUUGUAACUAUUGUAGGUAGUCAGUGAAUUCUUUAUGGAUAAUCAAACAGCAUCCAAAAACUUUUUGAUGCUGAAAUUGAGGGAUGGCAUCAAAAAGUUUUUGUAACUUUUCAAAACCAAGAAUCUGACAAGCAAAGGUAAUAAACCGAGCACUAGUUAAACUUCUCUUGUACUCUUGUUUGCUCUGUAUAACCAGGGAAUUAAGAAAUGUAUGUGUUCCAAAGAGCUGCAACAUAUUGACUUCCUAUGAGGAAGUACUGUCCCAAAGUGUCCACCAUUAUCACCAUUUUUAUGUAAUAAACGGACCAUGCUUCUGU